Non-coding RNA from Pangasianodon gigas (Mekong giant catfish), 73 nucleotides. The record is from the annotation of a GenBank genome assembly. NCBI's taxonomy places the organism in Eukaryota, Metazoa, Chordata, Actinopteri, Siluriformes, Pangasiidae.
GAAAACGCAAAAUUCCCUCAUGUCACGUUGUAGCAACGUAAAAGCCUUCCUUCGAGCCGGAUUCGAACCAGCG